RNAcentral lists this ribosomal RNA (253 nucleotides) under uncultured bacterium. RNAcentral's name for it is "partial 16S ribosomal RNA". It matches the Rfam family "Bacterial small subunit ribosomal RNA", at positions 524 to 776 of the family's 1533-position model. The record is from RNAcentral.
UACAGAGGAUGCAAGCGUUAUCCGGAAUUAUUGGGCGUAAAGCGUCUGUAGGUGGCUUUUUAAGUCCGCCGUCAAAUCCCAGGGCUCAACUCUGGACAGGCGGUGGAAACUACCAAGCUGGAGUACGGUAGGGGCAGAGGGAAUUUCCGGUGGAGCGGUGAAAUGCGUAGAGAUCGGGAGGAACACCGGUGGCGAAGGCGGUUCUCUGGGCCUUACCUGACGCUGAGGAGCGAAAGCGUGGGGAGCGAACAGG